Molecule: ribosomal RNA, 497 nt
Filed under: uncultured bacterium
Lineage: Bacteria
Description: partial 16S ribosomal RNA
Rfam family: Bacterial small subunit ribosomal RNA
Source: RNAcentral
GAUGAACGCUGGCGGCGUGCCUAAUACAUGCAAGUCGAGCGAACGGACGAGAAGCUUGCUUCUCUGAUGUUAGCGGCGGACGGGUGAGUAACACGUGGAUAACCGACCUAUAAGACUGGGAUAACUUCGGGAAACCGGAGCUAAUACCGGAUAAUAUUUUGAACCGCAUGGUUCAAAAGUGAAAGACGGUCUUGCCGUCACUUAUAGAUGGAUCCGCGCUGCAUUAGCUAGUUGGUAAGGUAACGGCUUACCAAGGCAACGAUGCAUAGCCGACCUGAGAGGGUGAUCGGCCACACUGGAACUGAGACACGGUCCAGACUCCUACGGGAGGCAGCAGUAGGGAAUCUUCCGCAAAGGGCGAAAGCCUGACGGAGCAACGCCGCGUGAGUGAUGAAGGUCUUCGGAUCGUAAAACUCUGUUAUUAGGGAAGAACAUAUGUGUAAGUAACUGUGCACAUCUUGACGGUACCUAAUCAGAAAGCCACGGCUAACUACGUG